UAUUUAAAGUUUCAUCUAUUUGUACUAUUAAAAACCAGUGUGCCUGACUAAAUAACUAGCACACCACAUGUACGUCAAAAACCAAUUUUUAACAAUAGAAAUGGAUGGAGUUUUUAACA
Molecule: non-coding RNA, 119 nt
Organism: Gossypium hirsutum (cotton)
Lineage: Eukaryota; Viridiplantae; Streptophyta; Magnoliopsida; Malvales; Malvaceae
Source: Rfam